AUUGAACGCUGGCGGCAGGCCUAACACAUGCAAGUCGAGCGGAUGCACGGGACUUGUUCCUCUCUACAGCGGCGGACGGGUGCGUAAGGCCUAGGAAUCUGCCUCGUAGUGGGGGAUAGCGUCCGCAAACGGACGCUAAUACCACUACCGCCUUCAGCCUGAAAGUGAGGGAUCUUCGUAGCACACGCUAUCACAUGUGCCUAGGUCGGAUUAGCUAGUUCGUGUGGUAAAGGCCUACCAAGGCGACGAUCCGUAACUGGUCUGAGAGGAUGAUCAGUCACACUGGAACUGAGACACGGUCCAGACUCCUACGGGAGGCAGCAGUGGGGAAUAUUGGACAAUGGGCGAAAGCCUGAUCCAGCCAUGCCGCGUGUGUGAAGAAGGUCUUCGGAUUGUAAAGCACUUUUAUUUGGGAAGAAGGUCUGUAAGUUAAUACCUUGCGAUUUUGACGGUACCAAAAGAAUAAGCACCGGCUAACUUCGUG
This 484-nucleotide ribosomal RNA is filed under the name uncultured bacterium. Its description in RNAcentral is "partial 16S ribosomal RNA". It matches the Rfam family "Bacterial small subunit ribosomal RNA", at positions 30 to 507 of the family's 1533-position model. The record is from RNAcentral.